Molecule: transfer RNA, 73 nt
Filed under: Epitheca princeps
Lineage: Eukaryota; Metazoa; Arthropoda; Insecta; Odonata; Corduliidae
Description: tRNA-Val
Rfam family: tRNA
About the family: Transfer RNA (tRNA) molecules are approximately 80 nucleotides in length. Their secondary structure includes four short double-helical elements and three loops (D, anti-codon, and T loops).
Source: RNAcentral
AUCAUCCUAGAGCUUGAUAGAAAGCUUUUCACUUACACUGAAAAAUUAAUUGUGCAAUUCAAUUUAGGCUGAU